This is a long non-coding RNA of Haliotis rubra (blacklip abalone), 627 nucleotides long. RefSeq lists it as uncharacterized. The record is from RefSeq and is a predicted model, not a curated record. Lineage: Eukaryota; Metazoa; Mollusca; Gastropoda; Lepetellida; Haliotidae. The transcript is spliced from 2 exons.
CUUUCUGUCAGGUAUGUGAUUUGUAAUGAUCACCUGGUUGAUUGGGAUUGGCUUAUUUCAAAUGAUAGGUCAUCAGCCAUUUUCACACACAGCACUUGUCACCCUCACCUGAUGUGCUCAGCACUUGUCACCAGUACUUAAUGUGCACAGCAAUUCAAGAUAACCAAUAAUCUACUUCCAAGGUAUCACAAUCCUGUAGUAUGCGGAGGGUUGACCGCCCGUAACAACACUCCCGUGUCACCCACAGGGUACGCAGGUUAUAAUCUAUUUCAUUAUUUAUGCAUAAGUGAUGUAUUUGCUUAUUGUUGAAUAUAUUGUAUUCUUGUCUGGUAUCAUGUACUUCAUUACAUGAUGAUAUAUCAUAAUUUGGUAAAACACAUUUGUAAGAAACCUAUAUUUGUAUGUGUACUUGUAAUGGUAUGAGCAUAUGAUGUAUGCAUUAUUACAGAUAGUAAUGUACCUGUAAACAUAUGCUUAUUGAUGUUAUGUAAUAUAGUGUGAUGUAAUAUGCACGCUUGUAUCUUAACCCAUGAAUGAAAUUGAACUUAUGAUAAUACUAUUGUUACAGAGUGUCUACUGAUAUCAACUGAUAUCCACUGAAUCAUCAGAAUAAACGAGUUGACCUCA